RNAcentral lists this ribosomal RNA (240 nucleotides) under uncultured bacterium. Its description in RNAcentral is "partial 16S ribosomal RNA". It matches the Rfam family "Bacterial small subunit ribosomal RNA", at positions 14 to 245 of the family's 1533-position model. The record is from RNAcentral.
GUAUCCUGGCUCAGGAUGAACGCUAGCUACAGGCUUAACACAUGCAAGUCGAGGGGCAGCGGGAAGUCAGCUUGCUGACUUUGCCGGCGACCGGCGCACGGGUGAGUAACACGUAUCCAACCUCCCGCAUACUCGGGAAUAGCCUUUCGAAAGAAAGAUUAAUGCCCGAUGGUUUCAAGGGAUUGCAUGGUAUCUUGAAUAAGAUUCAUCGGUAAUGCGAUGGGGAUGCGUUCCAUUAGG